UGUACAUGCGGAAGGCUUUCUACCAAAUAGCAACCUUCAUCUCCGCAGAGGCUUUAUACUCCGCCAGAUGUGACUCACAGGCCUCAGCUAUAACCGCCUUCAAUUCAGGGGAAUCCUUAUAGUCUUGGAGGUGAGCUUCACAGGCCUGCUCAAUCUUUCUUUUCAGCUCAUCCGACUCCUGAUACUCCCUCAGACGCUUCUUGCACUCCAGCUGGAUCUUGUCCUCAGCAUGUCUAGCCACCUCGAGCAGGGCCGAACAUUUACGUUCUAAAGUCCUGACUUCAUGGCUGAGCUGUUGAUUACGAA
Molecule: long non-coding RNA, 306 nt
Filed under: Manihot esculenta (cassava)
Lineage: Eukaryota; Viridiplantae; Streptophyta; Magnoliopsida; Malpighiales; Euphorbiaceae
Description: long non-coding RNA (MESC_LNC005600)
Source: RNAcentral